Molecule: unclassified non-coding RNA, 1061 nt
Filed under: Triticum aestivum (bread wheat)
Lineage: Eukaryota; Viridiplantae; Streptophyta; Magnoliopsida; Poales; Poaceae
Description: partial contains internal transcribed spacer 2 and large subunit ribosomal RNA
Rfam family: Eukaryotic large subunit ribosomal RNA (bases 203-1061)
Source: RNAcentral
CCACUCUCAACGGGAAUCGGGAUGCGGCAUCUGGUCCCUCGUCUCUCAAGGGACGGUGGACCGAAGAUUGGGCUGCCGGCGUACCGCGCCGGACACAGCGCAUGGUGGGCGUCCUCGCUUUAUCAAUGCAGUGCAUCCGGCGCGCAGCUGGCAUUAUGGCCUUUGAACGACCCAACAAACGAAGCGCACGUCGCUUCGACCGCGACCCCAGGUCAGGCGGGACUACCCGCUGAGUUUAAGCAUAUAAAUAAGCGGAGGAGAAGAAACUUACAAGGAUUCCCCUAGUAACGGCGAGCGAACCGGGAGCAGCCCAGCUUGAGAAUCGGGCGGCUGUGCCGUCCGAAUUGUAGUCUGGAGAGGCGUCCUCAGCGACGGACCGGGCCCAAGUCCCCUAGAAAGGGGCGCCUGGGAGGGUGAGAGCCCCGUCCGGCCCGGACCCUGUCGCCCCACGAGGUGCCGUCAACGAGUCGGGUUGUUUGGGAAUGCAGCCCAAAUCGGGCGGUAGACUCCGUCCAAGGCUAAAUACAAGCGAGAGACCGAUAGCGGACAAGUACCGCGAGGGAAAGAUGAAAAGGACUUUGAAAAGAGAGUCAAAGAGUGCUUGAAAUUGCCGGGAGGGAAGCGGAUGGGGGCCGGCGAUGCGCCCCGGCCGUAUGCGGAACGGCUCUUGCUGGUCCGCCGCUCGGCUCGGGGUGUGGACUGUUGUCGGCCGCGCCGGCGGCCAAAGCCCGGGGGCCCUAGGUGCCCCCGGUGGCCGUCGUCGGCACGGCCGGUACCCGUGCGCUGAAAGGCGUGUCCCUCGGGGCACUGCGCUGCAACGGCCUGCGGGCUCCCCAUCCGACCCGUCUUGAAACACGGACCAAGGAGUCUGACAUGCGUGCGAGUCGACGGGUUCUGAAACCUGGGAUGCGCAAGGAAGCUGACGAGCGGGAGGCCCUCACGGGCCGCACCGCUGGCCGACCCUGAUCUUCUGUGAAGGGUUCGAGUUGGAGCACGCCUGUCGGGACCCGAAAGAUGGUGAACUAUGCCUGAGCGGGGCGAAGCCAGAGGAAACUCUGGUG